This 253-nucleotide ribosomal RNA is filed under the name uncultured bacterium. RNAcentral describes it as "partial 16S ribosomal RNA". It matches the Rfam family "Bacterial small subunit ribosomal RNA", at positions 524 to 776 of the family's 1533-position model. The record is from RNAcentral.
UACAGAGGGUGCGAGCGUUAAUCGGAAUUACUGGGCGUAAAGGGCGAGUAGGUGGUUUUGUAAGUUGGAUGUGAAAUGUCUGGGCUCAACCUGGAUUUGUCAUUCAAAACUGCAAGACUAGAGUAUGGUAGAGGGUAGUGGAAUUUCCGGUGUAGCGGUGAAAUGCGUAGAUAUCGGAAGGAACAUCAGUGGCGAAGGCGACUACCUGGACUGAUACUGACACUGAAUCGCGAAAGCGUGGGGAGCAAACAGG